This 508-nucleotide ribosomal RNA is filed under the name uncultured bacterium. RNAcentral describes it as "partial 16S ribosomal RNA". It matches the Rfam family "Bacterial small subunit ribosomal RNA", at positions 28 to 507 of the family's 1533-position model. The record is from RNAcentral.
GACGAACGCUGGCGGCGUGCCUAAUACAUGCAGGUCGAACGCUUCUUUCCUCCCGAGUGCUUGCACUCAAUUGGAAAGAGGAGUGGCGGACGGGUGAGUAACACGUGGGUAACCUACCCAUCAGAGGGGGAUAACACUUGGAAACAGGUGCUAAUACCGCAUAACAGUUUAUGCCGCAUGGCAUAAGAGUGAAAGGCGCUUUCGGGUGUCGCUGAUGGAUGGACCCGCGGUGCAUUAGCUAGUUGGUGAGGUAACGGCUCACCAAGGCCACGAUGCAUAGCCGACCUGAGAGGGUGAUCGGCCACACUGGGACUGAGACACGGCCCAGAAUCCUACGGGAGGCAGCAGUAGGGAAUCUUCGGCAAUGGACGAAAGUCUGACCGAGCAACGCCGCGUGAGUGAAGAAGGUUUUCGGAUCGUAAAACUCUGUUGUUAGAGAAGAACAAGGACGUUAGUAACUGAACGUCCCCUGACGGUAUCUAACCAGAAAGCCACGGCUAACUACGUG